UUAUACCCCAAAAAGGACAAAAUGAUUACAAAAAUUCAAAAUGACAAAAAUAAACUUUUUUUUAAGAACCAAGUGGGCCCAUAAAAGAGGUUAAUUUAAGUGACUUUUGAGUAGAGUUUUGUUAACAAAACAUAACUCAACAAACACACCCGCCCAAAUGAGAAACAGCUCCAGUUAUAUAGCAAAUGAAUAAACCAUUAUAUACACCAAAGGUGAAAACUAGAGAGAUAACAGCUAACCAUCAUUCAAGAAGAACCCCAUUUCCCCCUACAUGAUCACAAUAGAUGGUCCAGUCCAUUUUAUUGGCUUCUGCAUUUAAACCAGCUCCACCCUCAGCCUCCUCUUUCACCCAAUCCAGGAAGGACUGGAGCAGAGGCCAGAACAAUUUUUAUUCAGCCUCAUUCUUUACAGCUAUAUAACCUUUAUUCCCUGGAGGGAAUUCAGUUUUCAGGGAUGAUGACAUUGCCUAUAAUAAGGUUCAGCGCACAUUGGCCUUCCUAUCAAGCCAAUCCUCUGGUGCUGGUUCAGCUUCAGCUGAGAUGGGUCUCUCACCCAUGGGUCCACAGAGAUGGGCAUGGCACGGGUCGGUGCCGAAAUGGGUUGAAUGACUGCACAUCGCCCUGGAGUGUCAAGCAUAACGUCAUCCAGUGACAGCCCUUUCAAGGUCAUUACUGCCCUACUGGUCUGUAGCUCCGCUCCACUUUGGAGCACGCUCAUAUGCAGUGUGAACUGAAACAUUUCUAGUAUUGAGGUUUUCCACAUUUUUCCUAAGAGUGGACUCGGAAUACUGGCCAGCCCUCAGUCCUCAUGAACAUCAAUGAGCCUUGGCUGCUCAUGAAUAUGGCACAGAUUCACCAGUUGUCAUUCUUUGGACCAUUUUUAGUACAUUGGCUUCUAACCACUCCAUACCGAGAACACUCCAAAAGACCUGCUGUUUUUGAGAUGCUUGGACCCAGUCAUUUUGUCAUUACAAUUUGGCCCUUUUAAAAGUUGCUCAGAUCCUUACACUUGCAGUUUUCCCUGCUUCCAAUACACUGACUUCAAGAACCGUUCUCCAACUGCCUAAUAUAUCACAUCCCUUGGCAGGUACCGUUGUAUAAAGACAUUCGCAUUGACUGUCUUUGGUUUUACUGUUGUGGCAGACAUUUGAGAAUGAUCUCUGUACAGUACAUGGCAUUGAAAAGGUUCUGCAAAGUACUAAUGUCAUUUAUUAGCUUAGCUAGUCACAACAUGGACACCAGUAUGAAAAAUUACUUUAGAUCGGAGAUGUCAGCACUCACACUGCCAGCCAGAACUGGCUUGCAAAAAUCCUACUAUUUUGUAGAGUGGAAAACUGUUGAUGAGGAUGAUAUCAUUUUCACUGGAUUGUGCACCAGGAACCAUUGUCUCUUAAGUCAUUAUACUGUAUAUAAAUGACACAAGAGUAGUUGUCCAGGAUGUCAUUUUCAUCCUAGCACGUCCUACAACAAACAGAUUACUGAACACAUAUUUUACAUAAGAUAUCUCAGGUUAAAGCACAUUUGACUUGUACAUGAUGCUUUCAUUAAAGAAUAUCCUUCUACUUUUAAAACACUAAAGGGAAAUAAUAUUUUUGAAGGUUUGUUUAAUAGAGUGUUGCAAUGGUUUUGUCAGCAAGGCCUACUUGAGAUCAAAUUGGACUCUAUGAAUU
Long non-coding RNA from Oreochromis niloticus (Nile tilapia), 1669 nucleotides. RefSeq lists it as uncharacterized. Lineage: Eukaryota; Metazoa; Chordata; Actinopteri; Cichliformes; Cichlidae. The record is from RefSeq and is a predicted model, not a curated record. The transcript is spliced from 2 exons.